RNAcentral lists this long non-coding RNA (300 nucleotides) under Androctonus crassicauda. Lineage: Eukaryota; Metazoa; Arthropoda; Arachnida; Scorpiones; Buthidae. The record is from RNAcentral.
UUAGAAGAUCCACGAGCCUUUAUAUCAGGUACGUCGAUGAUAUCCUGGUGAUAUGGGAAGAAGAAGGAAUAACAAAAGAACUAGAAGCCCUAACAAUACCAGCAUAUGGAUUAACGCUAACCACAAUGCAACUCAGCAAAUCCAAAAUAGGAUAUCUAGAUAUCGAAAUAACCAUCAACAUCAUCAUCUUAGCAACAGCGGUCCACAGAAAACCACUCUACCAACCGGUCAUCAUACCAAACUGGUCCCCAGACACACCAUCAUUCAAAAAGACCGCAUUUAGAGCAUUUUUCAGCAGAG